Long non-coding RNA from Salvelinus fontinalis (brook trout), 3947 nucleotides. RefSeq lists it as uncharacterized. NCBI's taxonomy places the organism in Eukaryota, Metazoa, Chordata, Actinopteri, Salmoniformes, Salmonidae. The transcript has 2 exons. The record is from RefSeq and is a predicted model, not a curated record.
UGGCAGUGAGGCAGUAGAGUGUCUGUGGAUAGUGAUAAAAGGUUGCCUAUACGUUCUGGAGGAGAGCCUCAUCUAUGGUUAGAAAAUAAAAAAGAUAUUCAAACGUUGUUUGAGCACGAUUCAAGUGUAUUAGCAGUAGCAAUAAGGAGAGAGGUCGAUUAAUGCCCUAUUGGUGCAGGGAACCGUGACAGGUUAUGUGUAAAUAGGAAGACAACAGUGAAUCAUUUUGGUAAUGUGUGUUGUCAACAAAAGUGAUAUUUGAGGCGUAACACUGGAAUAAGACAUUAGGUCACCUGUAUUCUCCAGUAAUACAUUUGCAGACGCUUUAGUAUUGGAUCUAAUACAAGGUAUCAAGUGGCGUGACCAAUAAUAGGCACAAAUACCUUAACUACUCUUUGGGGAAGUGGGUAUCACAACCUUUGAAAAUAGUUAAUAGAAGGUGUGCAUUAGAGUCGGGAGAGAGGAAAUCUAAAUACUCUGGACACCGUCGGGAGAUGCUUCAGAAUAAUAACUAUUGAAACGACGACCGUCAGCCCCGAUUCUAACUGUAAAGCGGGAGGAAGAAGAGGAGGAAGACAAGUUUAAUAAAGCCAUAGAGGCGCUGAAAGAGGCGCACGAGCAUUCUACCAAAUCGGCUCUAAUAUGGAUGAAAUAGAGCAGGAUGCUUUGAGAGUGGAAUCUAACUCCAAUCACUUCGCCGUCGUUCAAGGGGUUAAUACAGCCACAGAAAAAGUCAUAACAGUGGUUUCAAUGACCAAGGUAAGACAAAGAAACAGGGCGGGAAACGUAGCGAAAAAACAUCAAAGCGUAGGUUGAUAGAUCUCUGUUUUAGAUGUGGGAGGCUAAGUCUCACACAACUUUCUAAUAGAUGCCUGGGAUCAAAUAUCGCUGAUUCCUUAUGAUGAGAAACAUGCUAAAUUUACGACAGGGAGAAGUGUUACAUUUAGCAAUGUACUAGGGGCAGCAUCAAAAGCGAUACGAUUACUACCUGUCUUUAACCGUGGGACCAGUAACAAGACCCGGAUCAUUUUACAUGGGAGGAAGUGGAGCCAAUUUUGGGGUUGGAUAAUCCUUGCGAGAAUGAAAGACAAUGGAGUCUAAAAAAGGGUUAGCGCUUAACUCCCUGACCUGGUAACUCUACGGUGAGGUCGCCAGCAUGAUAAGGGAGUAUAAGCCUAAAAUGUUUUCAACAGUGUGUUAUUGUGCUCUUUGACAUUUGUCUUAGAGAUUUUGAUAUUAAUAAAAUUGUGAAUGUAAUAAUUUGUCAUACAAUAAUAGAUGGUCUGUAUUUCCAGAAUCAAAAAUGUCUUAAACUGUUGUUUUGCUCUGUCCUCUCGAGUUAUGGCGAAGGUGACCACAGAUGGUGUUUUGAUGCAUGGAAUGGAUCAUUUGACCGAGAACAGUGUGUAAAUCUCAAAACCCCCCUAACCAGCUGAAGAAUAGCGACAAAGGCGUUCACUAUGACUAUGACUAUCUGUGACCUGAGUCCAAGCCAUCAACUUGUAAAAGAGAGGCAGGGGUGCGGCAUGAGUCCUGAGACCACGCAUGUGGAGUGAGCAUGGAUUGAGAUCACAUUCAAACUCCUUUCAUACUUCUGGUGUACUGGUGGGAAAACGGACCAGACAGAAUGGACAGUACAGAACGGUGGUGAAGGCUCAGGUGGAAGACUUGUGUACUUGGAAAAAAACAGAUUAAUUUCCUCAGAUAUUGAAAUCGGGACAUUAUUAUGGUCCAUCAACUGUGACAGGCAUGAGUUACAUAUGUGCCUUUGGGAAGAUGAACUGUAACGCUAUCUGAAGAAGAACCAAUGAAGAUACCCAGAAGAUGAGUGCCGGGAGAAAGGGGUGGUGGUCAACCGUGACUGUAAUUGUUUAGUAGAGGUAUCAGGUUGAUUGUGGAGGUCUGCACACUGUGAAAUUUAUAGCAAUUUAGACUAAGAAUGCAUUGAGAUACCAAUCUGUCAUUACCAUGCCACUCGCGACAGUGAAACAGCAACAAAUGUGGGUUGUAAUGAGAAAAGUUAAUUCCGGUAAUAUGUGGUCCCGUUUGUAAAUGUACAUACUAACAGUGAUGAUGUGUGCGAGGUUGAGGGGCUUGAAUUCGAGUGAUAGACUCAACGUAAAGCACUAAGGACUGUCAUUCUAAAUUUAGGUUGGAUAAUUGAUCAAAUGUUUUAAUUAUGAUUCGGAAAGGAGAUAAGAGAGAGCGCUACACCCAGCUGUGAGGAGAGUUCAAAGUGAGGGGAGGGUGCGCUGCUCGAAUUUACUGGGUCUAGGGAGGGUUUUUCUCCCUAGAAACCUUAUCUUUUAGUGUCCUCCGAGAAGGAGGUUAUUAGAGCCCACUAUAUGAUAGCUUGGGUAAACCACGAAGGGGCUUUGUGUUACCAUGUCAUCAUAAUCCUAAUGUUAAAGCAUAUCAAUACAUAUGGAUUGCUGGAUGAUGCAGUACAAUUAAUUAGAUACAAGGCUCAUAGUCUGUGUCUUGUGUUAACACCCGAGGAUGAGGUUAAAGGAGACAGGCAUGAAGACUAGCAUCCCAUGGGCAUAGAACAGAACGGAUGGACGGUUCUUUCUCCAGUCUUAGUCACAUCAAGGGUGGUGUGAAAUUACUAAACAUGUAUUUUCUUCUCUUUACUUUUCAAGUCUAAAAAUGUGUUUUUAGGUUUCGUGGAACAUAAAGGUGAUCAUUGUUCCAGAGGAGGGAUGGGUGGAAAUUGACUAAUUGAUUUGAGAAUGUUUUAGUACAGUAUGUUUAAAACUAUAGUAGUGAAUAAUGUGUUAUGGGUUUGAUGGAAUGAUUUAUGUGUUGUGGAGUCCCAAAACCAAGGCAAUAAUUUUGUAGGGAAUUGGGACAGCGGAAUGGAAUGUGACUGGGGUGGACAUCUGUGCGGCUCAUAAAUUAAGGAAUGGGUGAUAGUCUCUGGGGAAUGAUACCCACUCCUCUAUGUAUAUUGUCACAGGAGAUAGUUCGUAGGAGAGGGAGGACAGCUAACUGUGCAGAAUAUAGAGACUACUAUGAAGUUAAACUAAACGUUAAACAUACCCAGAUCAUAUUGAGAGUAGCAGAGAUAGUGUUGUCAUUUCAGACACUGUUGUCAAAUUUCAGUGAUGGGUUUGUCAAAAAAGGUAUAACACUUGAAAGAAUAGCCACAGAUCCCUGUAUACAUGAGGCCACAUCACCUGAAGGGAAGUUCGCUGUAAUAAUAGCAUCAUAUCUCCUGCAGAGUGUGAUGAAGAAACAUGUGACUCAGGGUUUUGUUAGAUUGGAUACUCUUCCGACACUUGACAUAUCUCCCAGAAGAUUGGGACCGAGUGACGAUACACGGAAAGUGUCAGAAGGUGGCUUCUCCCUUUUGGAGCCUGUGUUCUGAAAGAGGAAGACUGGAGGAAAGCAUGAGUUUUUUUUAGGUCAUUUAUUUUUGUGGAACCCAGCAGAAAAAUAUCCUGAAAGCAUAGAGUCAGAUGAAGAGAAAGUGGGACUGGUCAUGUUAUCAAAUAUAUUUUUUUCUGAAUGUUAAUCUUGUUUUAUUAUUUAUUAAUGUUUUAUUAUCAUUGUUUGUUCAUUUAUAAGUCAUUUCCAAGUUUAUAUCAUGUUGAACAGAUUCUAAUUUCUAAACUUGCAGAUAUUAAGUAUCCUUAUUCAUGUCACUGAGGGAGAGAGGGGAUUGUAGAACAUUUACAUUCUGUCAGAAUAUGUUAUUGUUAGACAUCAGGGAUCCUAUGGGGAGGAGUGAGGAAUUUUGGGCUGAGGUCAGGUCAGAUGAAGUGAGGAAGAACAGAUAUCACUAAAGAUCUGUCUAGCCACAGCGGUGUAUUGGCUGUUCAGAGGUGUAAGGAGGAGACUCAAUAUAUGAGGAAGGGUUAAAUACUAGUGCUUGUGUGAAUAUGGCUUUGUCUGUUCAGCUGUCUGACCCUUUGGGUGAAUAAACUUGGUUUGAGCUUUAAUAA